GUUUCCGUAGGUGAACCUGCGGAAGGAUCAUUCAUAAUAAAGUGUUUUAUGGCACUUUUUAAAAAUCCAUAUCCACCUUGUGUGCAAUGUUAGAUCUCGUCAAUCUUGGCGAGAUUUUUAUACAUCAACUCAUUCUUUAACUAAUUUGUCUGAAAAAUAUUAUGAAUACUUAAUUCAAAAUACAACUUUCAACAACGGAUCUCUUGGCUCUC
RNAcentral lists this unclassified non-coding RNA (212 nucleotides) under plant metagenome. RNAcentral's name for it is "partial contains small subunit ribosomal RNA, internal transcribed spacer 1, and 5.8S ribosomal RNA". The record is from RNAcentral.